This 467-nucleotide unclassified non-coding RNA is filed under the name uncultured Russula. Its description in RNAcentral is "sequence contains ITS2". The stretch from base 1 to 154 matches the Rfam family "5.8S ribosomal RNA". The record is from RNAcentral. Lineage: Eukaryota; Fungi; Basidiomycota; Agaricomycetes; Russulales; Russulaceae.
AACUUUUGGCAAUGGAUCUCUUGGCUCUCGCAUCGAUGAAGAACGCAGCGAAAUGCUGUACGUAAUGUGAAUUGCAGAAUUCAGUGAAUCAUCGAAUCUUUGAACGCACCUUGCGCCCCUUGGCAUUCCGAGGGGCACACCCGUUUGAGUGUCGUGAACAUCCUCAACCUGCUGGUUUUUACCAAACUAAGUAGGCUUGGAAUUUGGAGGUUUUCUGCUGGCCUCCUCUGAAGCCAGCUCCUCUUAAAUCUAUCAGUGGGAUCCGCUUUGCUAGAUCCUCGACGUUGAUAAGAUGUUUCUACGUCUUGAGUUUUGCUCGGGAAGGACCUGCUUCUAACCGUCCCAUCGGGGACAUCGUUCGAGCCGAUCGCCCUUCACGGGGUGGGAAGCUUUUCGACCCAUGAACCCUUGACCUCAAAUCGGGUGAGACUACCCGCUGAACUUAAGCAUAUCAAUAAGCGGAGGAU